AAACCAGCCCCAACCUCGUUUUCAGCCUUCAGGCGUGGUGGGGGAGGUCUGGCGCUGCCGGGUUCUGCUUCCAGCCUGCUGUGGGAAGGGAUCCGUGGCCCCUGAGAGGAGGGCGGUGUUGGUGUGAGGGUGACAGAGCUCUGGGCAGCGCCAAAUGUUGAUCCCGAAGCAGCAAUGAGCAUUGGAGGCAGCAAACCUCGCCAUGAAACCCUCUGCAGCUGGUUCUCUGGACGAGGUUUCAGGACUGGAUUUCAAAGAGCUUCCCCUGGUCUCCACAGGAGCCUCAUUAAGGUGAAGAGAAGCAGCAGCAGCAGGGAGAAGCAGCACUGCCAGAUGGACCAAGCUCCAAUCCUCACACCUCCCCCUGAACCACAGCACUAUGAUUUUGGAGAGGAAAGAUGAUCCUUUGCAGGAAGAGGAAAGAAGACAUGGGCAGAUGAACAGGGACCAGGAGAAGAAUGGGUGGAGGAAAGAGGCUGCUCAGGUGAGAGGACACAUGACCUCUGAAGGGGACAUACUGAGUAAAGAGGGAGGCUGAAGAAAAGGAACUCCUACAGCUGAAAAAUCCACCCUGGCAGGUGAGUGAUCCACGUCUGCCAGGUUUCCUGGUGCUGUGAGACUUGCCCUGAUGGCAAUCAGCCAGCACAUCUUUAGGAAUUUAAACCUGUAGCUUACUCUUGAAUUAAAUCAGUGAAUUGGAUAAGCUAGAGAGAGCACUUUAGGAUCCUGCAGUCACUCUCAAAGUAUCACUCUUAAGAAUCCUGAACAUUUGCCAUCACAGCACAUCCCAUUUGCACAUCCCAUCAUCUAUUUUAGGCAUCUAAUUUUCAAUGUCAGAGUAGAGCCUCCAAGAGCCUCCUGAGUAGCACAGAAUCAACUUCAGGUCACUCAGGACAACAGGCUAAAGAUGAUCUGAUGGCCUUGGGCAUUGCCAAGGAUGGUUUCAGCAGCAGGAAGAAAUGCCCCAGCACACUGCCCUCUUUCUGUCAUGGAUUUCUCUAGGUUCUCAUUAAGACUGAGGAACAUUUGCACCUGCUCAC
Molecule: long non-coding RNA, 1040 nt
Organism: Calypte anna (Anna's hummingbird)
Lineage: Eukaryota; Metazoa; Chordata; Aves; Apodiformes; Trochilidae
Exons: 3
Source: RefSeq, a predicted model, not a curated record